CCGAUAGAGGUUGCGGCUUGUCAAGAUUAGUUCCGCUUUAUGAACGAACAGGUUCUGCGAAACGAAAGGGGCGGCCGCCGAAAUGGUGUUCUUUCUGUUCAAAGUGCGCUGUUGGGCUGUUGCAGAAUAUGUAACAGACUGUCACCUUUGGUGGAGCGCUAUCGU
This 165-nucleotide non-coding RNA is filed under the name bovine gut metagenome. Its description in RNAcentral is "Lysine riboswitch". It matches the Rfam family "Lysine riboswitch aptamer". Rfam says of the family: Riboswitches are metabolite binding domains within certain messenger RNAs that serve as precision sensors for their corresponding targets. The record is from RNAcentral.